This 1116-nucleotide ribosomal RNA is filed under the name Staphylococcus sp. DJ11. RNAcentral describes it as "bacterial SSU rRNA". It matches the Rfam family "Bacterial small subunit ribosomal RNA", at positions 35 to 1174 of the family's 1533-position model. Lineage: Bacteria; Bacillati; Bacillota; Bacilli; Caryophanales; Staphylococcaceae. The record is from RNAcentral.
GCGGGGGGGGUGCUAUACAUGCAAGUCGAGCGAACAGAUAAGGAGCUUGCUCCUUUGACGUUAGCGGCGGACGGGUGAGUAACACGUGGAUAACCUACCUAUAAGACUGGGAUAACUUCGGGAAACCGGAGCUAAUACCGGAUAACAUAUUGAACCGCAUGGUUCAAUAGUGAAAGGCGGCUUUGCUGUCACUUAUAGAUGGAUCCGCGCCGUAUUAGCUAGUUGGUAAGGUAACGGCUUACCAAGGCAACGAUACGUAGCCGACCUGAGAGGGUGAUCGGCCACACUGGAACUGAGACACGGUCCAGACUCCUACGGGAGGCAGCAGUAGGGAAUCUUCCGCAAUGGGCGAAAGCCUGACGGAGCAACGCCGCGUGAGUGAUGAAGGUCUUCGGAUCGUAAAACUCUGUUAUCAGGGAAGAACAAAUGUGUAAGUAACUGUGCACAUCUUGACGGUACCUGAUCAGAAAGCCACGGCUAACUACGUGCCAGCAGCCGCGGUAAUACGUAGGUGGCAAGCGUUAUCCGGAAUUAUUGGGCGUAAAGCGCGCGUAGGCGGUUUUUUAAGUCUGAUGUGAAAGCCCACGGCUCAACCGUGGAGGGUCAUUGGAAACUGGAAAACUUGAGUGCAGAAGAGGAAAGUGGAAUUCCAUGUGUAGCGGUGAAAUGCGCAGAGAUAUGGAGGAACACCAGUGGCGAAGGCGACUUUCUGGUCUGUAACUGACGCUGAUGUGCGAAAGCGUGGGGAUCAAACAGGAUUAGAUACCCUGGUAGUCCACGCCGUAAACGAUGAGUGCUAAGUGUUAGGGGGUUUCCGCCCCUUAGUGCUGCAGCUAACGCAUUAAGCACUCCGCCUGGGGAGUACGACCGCAAGGUUGAAACUCAAAGGAUUGACGGGACCCGCACAAGCGGUGGAGCAUGUGGUUUAUCGAGCACGCGAGACUUACAAAUCUGACAUCUUUGACUGCUCUAGAGAUAGAGUCUCCCCUCGGGGGACAAGUGACAGUGUGCAUGUGUCGUCAGCUCGUGUCUGAAUGUCGUUAGUCCGCACGAGCGCACAUAGCUUAGUUGCAUCAUAGGUGGCACUCUAGUGACUGCGUGACAACCGAGAGUCGU